GACGGAGGGCGCAAGCGUUGUUCGGAAUUACUGGGCGUAAAGCGCGCGCAGGCGGGAAGGUAAGUCUGGAGUGAAAUUCCGGGGCUCAACUCCGGAGCUGCUUUGGAUACUGUCUUUCUAGGGACCGGUAGAGGCCGAUGGAAUUCCCGGUGUAGCGGUGAAAUGCGCAGAUAUCGGGAAGAACACCCGUGGCGAAGGCGGUUCUCUGGGACGGUACUGACGCUGAGACGCGAAAGCGUGGGGAGCGAACAGG
This 253-nucleotide ribosomal RNA is filed under the name uncultured bacterium. RNAcentral's name for it is "partial 16S ribosomal RNA". It matches the Rfam family "Bacterial small subunit ribosomal RNA", at positions 524 to 776 of the family's 1533-position model. The record is from RNAcentral.